GCCGUUAUAGUUUAAAUAGAAUGUGUAAUUUGUAAUUAUAGGGUUUUAAUGGCU
Molecule: transfer RNA, 54 nt
Filed under: Nematodirus spathiger
Lineage: Eukaryota; Metazoa; Nematoda; Chromadorea; Rhabditida; Molineidae
Description: tRNA-Thr
Source: RNAcentral